Molecule: ribosomal RNA, 253 nt
Filed under: uncultured bacterium
Lineage: Bacteria
Description: partial 16S ribosomal RNA
Rfam family: Bacterial small subunit ribosomal RNA
Source: RNAcentral
UACGGAGGGAGCUAGCGUUGUUCGGAAUUACUGGGCGUAAAGCGCACGUAGGCGGCUUUGUAAGUUAGAGGUGAAAGCCCGGGGCUCAACUCCGGAACUGCCUUUAAGACUGCAUCGCUUGAAUCCAGGAGAGGUGAGUGGAAUUCCGAGUGUAGAGGUGAAAUUCGUAGAUAUUCGGAAGAACACCAGUGGCGAAGGCGGCUCACUGGCCCGGUACUGACGCUGAGGUGCGAAAGCGUGGGGAGCAAACAGG